CAAGAUCUUUUUCUCCAGUGGAGACUGCUGACCUGCAGCAAUCCUAGGAUCUUUAGAUGAAGUAGCCCAGGCCAAU
This is an unclassified non-coding RNA of Aotus nancymaae (Ma's night monkey), 76 nucleotides long. The record is from Ensembl. NCBI's taxonomy places the organism in Eukaryota, Metazoa, Chordata, Mammalia, Primates, Aotidae.